UACGUAGGUGGCAAGCGUUGUCCGGAUUUACUGGGCGUAAAGGAUGCGUAGGCGGACAUUUAAGUCAGAUGUGAAAUACCCGAGCUUAACUUGGGUGCUGCAUUUGAAACUGGGUGUCUAGAGUGCAGGAGAGGUAAGUGGAAUUCCUAGUGUAGCGGUGAAAUGCGUAGAGAUUAGGAAGAACACCAGUGGCGAAGGCGACUUACUGGACUGUAACUGACGCUGAGGCAUGAAA
This 235-nucleotide ribosomal RNA is filed under the name uncultured bacterium. Its description in RNAcentral is "partial 16S ribosomal RNA". It matches the Rfam family "Bacterial small subunit ribosomal RNA", at positions 524 to 758 of the family's 1533-position model. The record is from RNAcentral.